RNAcentral lists this ribosomal RNA (465 nucleotides) under uncultured Klebsiella sp. RNAcentral's name for it is "bacterial SSU rRNA". It matches the Rfam family "Bacterial small subunit ribosomal RNA", at positions 338 to 795 of the family's 1533-position model. The record is from RNAcentral. Lineage: Bacteria; Pseudomonadati; Pseudomonadota; Gammaproteobacteria; Enterobacterales; Enterobacteriaceae.
CCUACGGGGGGCUGCAGUGGGGAAUAUUGCACAAUGGGCGCAAGCCUGAUGCAGCCAUGCCGCGUGUGUGAAGAAGGCCUUCGGGUUGUAAAGCACUUUCAGCGGGGAGGAAGGCGUUAAGGUUAAUAACCUUGUCGAUUGACGUUACCCGCAGAAGAAGCACCGGCUAACUCCGUGCCAGCAGCCGCGGUAAUACGGAGGGUGCAAGCGUUAAUCGGAAUUACUGGGCGUAAAGCGCACGCAGGCGGUCUGUCAAGUCGGAUGUGGAAUCCCCGGGCUCAACCCGGGAACUGCAUUCGAAACUGGCAGGCUAGAGUCUUGUAGAGGGGGGUAGAAUUCCAGGUGUAGCGGUGAAAUGCGUAGAGAUCUGGAGGAAUACCGGUGGCGAAGGCGGCCCCCUGGACAAAGACUGACGCUCAGGUGCGAAAGCGUGGGGAGCAAACAGGAUUAGAUACCCCGGUAGUC